This 253-nucleotide ribosomal RNA is filed under the name uncultured bacterium. RNAcentral's name for it is "partial 16S ribosomal RNA". It matches the Rfam family "Bacterial small subunit ribosomal RNA", at positions 524 to 776 of the family's 1533-position model. The record is from RNAcentral.
UACGUAGGGUGCAAGCGUUGUCCGGAAUCACUGGGCGUAAAGGGCGCGUAGGCGGCGCGGGAAGUCAACGGUGAAAGCUUGGGGCUCAACUCCGAGUCGGCCGUCGAUACUCCCGUGCUCGAGCACUGUAGAGGCAGAUGGAAUUCCGGGUGUAGCGGUGGAAUGCGUAGAGAUCCGGAAGAACACCGGUGGCGAAGGCGGUCUGCUGGGCAGUUGCUGACGCUGAUGCGCGACAGCGUGGGGAGCAAACAGG